CGAUUUUGUUGGUGUUGGUGGUGAUGGUGAUGGUGGUGGUAGUGUUGUUUUGGUGGUAAUGGCGGGGUGAGGGUGAUUGCAAGUGGAUGUGGUUACAGCAGCUGUGGUGCCCCUCCAAUAGGGGGUCGCCGCAUAGGCCCCCUAUUUUUUGGCCUGGCCAAACAGGUUUAUGCUUCCGAUAAUAUUCGAAAAACUCACACUCAAUCAGCAAACUGUCAGAGUCAAGACACUGCCACCAUUCCCUCUACGCUUCAAGUCUGAUGGAACUUUCAAAAUCCUAUGGGUGUAAUAAUAUUUUUCACCAAAUAUGAUCAUGAAUUUCAUAUAUUUAAUUUUCCGAUGUAAAUAAAAUUGUGGGUUUGUUGGUAACUUUGAUUUUUGGUUGGGUAUUGGGUUGAAGCUGGCUUUUUUCAUAGGUGGCUGACAUGCAUUUUGGGAAUGGCAUGGUGACUCGAUGCAGAGACGUGCGGGAGAGUGAGUUAGAGGUAUGUUCUGAUCUCUACACCACACGAUUUCUUGAAAAGAUUAUUCAACUGGAGAAGCCUGAUUUCGUUGCUUUUACUGGUAUUGUAAUGUAAAUCUACUAUGCUUGACUGGUAAUAGAACACGUAGUCCUUUUAAUGAUUUGAAUUUCGUAGCUAAUUUUCGAUCAGUGGAGUCUCUUGCUGCUGGAACGAUAGCAUUUCUUUUCGCAUUAGGAGACGUGGUUAGUUCAAUGAGAGUGCACGGAAAAUGGUUGUAGUACUAUGUGAGAAACUACUGUAUCAAGAGAGAGAACUACAAAACUUUUAUCUGCAAUUUAGCACUUCGAUUGAAUGAUGGAAACUAUAAUGCUAUUCAUUGUUAUGUGAUGAUCACUCGGUGGCAGUAAGCCAUCUAAUUCAUUGUCUAGAGCAUUAAAAUUUAUCACAACUCCGUUGGACAAUGAAUCAGGGCCCACAUCCACUAGACAUGUGAUGAUCAAUACAAAUGAUAAAUAGCUUUAUUCGAAUGGAAAUAGAUGAUCACGGUAGUGGUAUAUACCUUUUUGGACGUUGAUACUUGUUCAAAAAUCUGGUUAGUGCACAAACACAAAGUAGGAGAUUGAUUGGCUUAAAGUAGGUGUAUGAUGUGUUUCAACUCUUUCUGCACCGCGAAGAUGUUUCCUUCUGUUCCCUGAGUUUUUUAUGUGUAAGUGCUUACGGUUUAAUUUUAGAAUCUAAUAUACAUCCUCUUUAGCAAUAUUGAUCCCACAUAAAGUCGGUGGAAAAAAAAAGUUAAAUAAAAUAAGUAAAAUUUUAUUUUGGUGUCAUUAGAAGCAAAUGGCUGAUGAAGAUGCCACUGGAUGACCACAAACUUUUGUCCUUGUCAUAAUGGUUUAAACUCUUGCAGUGGUAAUGCAAAAAAUAGAGUUCUUCGGAAGGGAUAUCGUAUUUAUGAUGGGAGAAAAGGGGAGGGAUGGUAGGACAGGGCAGGGUAGGGCAAGACAGAGUGAGCAGUUAAACUUAGUUAGCACAUCUUUAAAUGUAAUGUAUUUAGCACCAAUGGUGUUCAAUACGUGGUAACACAAAAUAUGUUCAAUUUAAGUGGGCCUUAUAUCCUUCCACUUGAUUGAACUGUCAUUUAAUGCCACAUCAAUUGCCACCUAGAUUAGUAUAAACUCUAUUGGUGAAAUAUAGCAUUAUUCUAUUUAUAGUAAUUGAAGUGACGUGACAUUUAAUGUGGAUAGAUUAGCGCACAUGCUUAAAAGCCACUACUCGUGGAGCAUAUUUAUGACACUAACAUUAGUGAGGCAUUUUCGAGUUGUGAUUGGUUGUAGAUCUCCAACUAUCUACUAUUUGACAGAAAUAGACAUGUCACAAAAAUGGAAAUACAUUUACUAGGAUCCAAGUAAUCCGCUUUUGAGUUAAAUUCUCACAUUUUCACUUCUUUUCCCAAAAAAAAUAAAAAUACAAAAUGAAAGAGUUUAUGUGCAAUUAGAGCCAAAAGUAUGUCAUAAAACUUGCUGCUACCAAAAAAUGAGCAUAUCUUCAAACGGGGUUUUAAAAAAAAUAAAAACAAGUAUAUAUCUUUACAAUAUGGCAGAAUUUCGUUGGACUUAGAGAUGAAUGCAUAUUGUGAUGCUAUUUUAGUUGAUAAUAGAAUAUUAUUUCAAAUGCCACAGAGUGUUGCUAGAUCUUUUCUCCAGAGGGAUUGAACGUCUGUAAGCUCAUCUCCUUUCAUUUAGACAUGACAAAAUUUUGGGUUGCGUAACCUCAAUAAGGCUGGACCUUUUUUUGGCUCAAUGCAAAUGAUCAAAGCUCUAGUUUAUAUUAUAGAAAUUCUUCUGAAUGAAUUGUAUUUUGCACUUUUAUCUUCUGAUUUGUCGCAUUCUGCCCUUAAUGUCACCAGAGUACUUGGUUUAUUGUUAACUUGGUGCUUUGCAUCUUCUCAUUUGUAUUUUCGUGCAGUAUAAUUUAUCUCUCUCUCACAUUGGCAUGUAGGAGAUAAUAUAUUUGGAACAAAUGCUACUGAUGCUGCUAAAUCUCUAUUCAGAGCUUUUGGCCCAGUUAUAAAAUCUGGACUUCCCUGGGCAGGAGUUUUAGGGAACCAUGAUCAAGAAUCAACUAUGAAUCGUGAAGAAUUGAUGUCUUUCAUCUGGAAAUUGUAAUCUGAGAGUAUGGGGAGCUCCAGGUUCCCAUUUUGUGAAUAGCUCUGUCCUCGAUCUCUAUUUUCUUGACAGUGGUGACAGAGCUGUUGUCAAUGGAUUUCGAACUUAUGGAUGGAUUAAAGAAUCUCAACUUAGUUGGCUUCGUGGCAUUUCUAAAGAAAUUCUUGUGUGAUAAAUACCAAGUGCAAGGAUAUUGCGCGCACACGCAUACACACAAAGUGAUUUUUGACAAUAAGGAGUACUUGAAGAGAAUGUAAAGUGUGGGAUUAUAACGAUUACAUGAAAUGGAAAGUGAU
RNAcentral lists this long non-coding RNA (2925 nucleotides) under Olea europaea subsp. europaea. The record is from RNAcentral. Lineage: Eukaryota; Viridiplantae; Streptophyta; Magnoliopsida; Lamiales; Oleaceae.